CUAAAACACCUUCAGCAUAAAAUGAUUCAUAUACUAAAAAGUGUAGCUAUCAGCACGAACAGUUUUGCCACAAGAAUUGGACUACACUUGCAGCAGAACAACACAUUAGACACCAACAGGAAGAACUUUAAGACUCUCUGGUGAAACCAUUGCUAAUCACUGCCCUAAGUGCCUAAUCUAGUCAAAUCAUGAAAGCUUUGAAAACUACAGUAGAAUUGCCUGCAAGGAUGCGAAAGAGUAUGAAUCCCAACCAAGCUACUGUAACAGGUAUCCAGAACUAACAACAUAGAGAUUAAGAUAAAACAACGAAAAAGAGGCCAAAAAAUCUAAGCAGAAAAUAGUUCAUGAGCGCUCCAGUUUUAUCUCCGUUUUGCAAGGUGUAGACACACUACAGCUCCUGCCCCCAAGGCCACGACUCCAAUCACAGCCGCCGCCCCCAGGGCACGAGAGUGCAUCGGAGGUACCCCAGCAUCUUCCUUGACAUCAAUAUCAAAGCUUUUCUCCUCCUCCUCAUCCUCCUCCUCCUCCUCCUCCUCCUCCUCCAAGUUAGAUGUUAAUUCAGCGAUCUUCGUCUUCAGCUCCUCUUCCUUAGCGGCAAACUUCUCCGCCUCAUCCCUUUCUUUCUGCUUGGCGACCGUCAGUUCCUCCUCGAGAACCUUGACCUUGGUCUCGAGUUCCUUGACCUUGACCGUGAACGUGGCUUCGAGAUCCUUGAUGUUGCUCUCGAGAAGGCACACCCUUUCCUCGUGUUCCGUGGCGGCAAGGUUGGCGGUGGACAAGUCGUCAAGCGUGACGCGGAGUUCGCCCUCGAGGUGGCUGGCCUGGCCAGCUACGGCCUUGAGGUCUGACUCGGCGCCGGCGAGUUUCUCCCGGGCGUCCGAGAGGUCGCGGAGAAGGUCCGACCGUUCUCGCUGGAGGUUGGACCGCUCGCUCUUCAGCGCCCGGAUCUCGUCGAGCAGGAGCUCGACCGCCGCAUCACGGUCGCCAGCAGCGGCGGCAGUAUCCAUCUCGCCAUAAACAGCCGCCUCCUGCUCGCCGUUGGCGGCCGCCUCCUUACCGGCCGCCUGCUCGACGCCAUAGGCGGAGGCUUCCUUAUAGGUCGUCUCCACUUCGCGGUCAGCGGCGGCGGGGGCGGGGUAGGCGAGGGUUUCAUCGGCCAUGGUAGUCGGCUGGAGAAGUUCUUCCCGUGGAGGAGCGUGCGGAAGGAGACGACAGGAGACCAAAACCUAACGGACGCAGGCGAAAUGUGGCGAUAUUUAUGGGAAGACCACAGUGACUAACGAACGGUGGAUGAUCAUCUCCGAGAUGCUGCACCGACGAUCGUUUAUAUAACGCGAUACUUUUCUUUCUC
RNAcentral lists this long non-coding RNA (1351 nucleotides) under Musa acuminata (dwarf banana). RNAcentral describes it as "long non-coding RNA (MACU_LNC005418)". The record is from RNAcentral. Lineage: Eukaryota; Viridiplantae; Streptophyta; Magnoliopsida; Zingiberales; Musaceae.